Molecule: ribosomal RNA, 640 nt
Filed under: Clostridium perfringens
Lineage: Bacteria; Bacillati; Bacillota; Clostridia; Eubacteriales; Clostridiaceae
Description: bacterial SSU rRNA
Rfam family: Bacterial small subunit ribosomal RNA
Source: RNAcentral
UUUAAAUUGAGAGUUUGAUCCUGGCUCAGGAUGAACGCUGGCGGCGUGCUUAACACAUGCAAGUCGAGCGAUGAAGUUUCCUUCGGGAAACGGAUUAGCGGCGGACGGGUGAGUAACACGUGGGUAACCUGCCUCAUAGAGUGGAAUAGCCUUCCGAAAGGAAGAUUAAUACCGCAUAACGUUGAAAGAUGGCAUCAUCAUUCAACCAAAGGAGCAAUCCGCUAUGAGAUGGACCCGCGGCGCAUUAGCUAGUUGGUGGGGUAACGGCCUACCAAGGCGACGAUGCGUAGCCGACCUGAGAGGGUGAUCGGCCACAUUGGGACUGAGACACGGCCCAGACUCUUACGGGAGGCAGCAGUGGGGAAUAUUGCACAAUGGGGGAAACCCUGAUGCAGCAACGCCGCGUGAGUGAUGAAGGUUUUCGGAUCGUAAAGCUCUGUCUUUGGGGAAGAUAAUGACGGUACCCAAGGAGGAAGCCACGGCUAACUACGUGCCAGCAGCCGCGGUAAUACGUAGGUGGCGAGCGUUAUCCGGAUUUACUGGGCGUAAAGGGAGCGUAGGCGGAUGAUUAAGUGGGAUGUGAAAUACCCGGGCUCAACUUGGGUGCUGCAUUCCAAACUGGUUAUCUAGAGUGCAGGAG